GACGAACGCUGGCGGCGUGCUUAACACAUGCAAGUCGAACGCGCCUGUCCUCUGGGUUUCUGGGGGGUGGGUGAGUGGCGAACGGGUGAGUAACACGUGAGUAACCUGCCCCCUUCUUCGGGAUAACGGUCUGAAAGGGCUGCUAAUACCGGGUAUUCACUGGUCUCCGCAUGGGGUCUGGUGGAAAGGUUUUUUUCUGGUGGGGGAUGGGCUCGCGGCCUAUCAGCUUGUUGGUGGGGUGAUGGCCCACCAAGGCUUUGACGGGUAGCCGGCCUGAGAGGGUGACCGGUCACAUUGGGACUGAGAUACGGCCCAGACUCCUACGGGAGGCAGCAGUGGGGAAUAUUGCACAAUGGGCGCAAGCCUGAUGUAGCGACGCCGCGUGAGGGAUGGAGGCCUUCGGGUUGUGAACCUCUUUCGCCCGUGGUCAAGCCGCGACGUGGGUCGUGGUGAGGGUAGUGGGUAAAGAAGCGCCGGCUAACUACGUG
This 488-nucleotide ribosomal RNA is filed under the name uncultured bacterium. Its description in RNAcentral is "partial 16S ribosomal RNA". It matches the Rfam family "Bacterial small subunit ribosomal RNA", at positions 28 to 507 of the family's 1533-position model. The record is from RNAcentral.